This is a long non-coding RNA of Prosopis cineraria, 492 nucleotides long. RefSeq lists it as uncharacterized. The transcript is spliced from 3 exons. The record is from RefSeq and is a predicted model, not a curated record. NCBI's taxonomy places the organism in Eukaryota, Viridiplantae, Streptophyta, Magnoliopsida, Fabales, Fabaceae.
CAAGCCCAUCCACAUACUGGGCCAGGAUGGCCCACCUUCUUGGCUGAGUCGUUUCUCUCUGCUACGGAGUGCAGCGGAUGAAAUCUUGUCGCCGGCGAAGUAGAGAUAAAACGGCGGAAUAGUCGAUGCUCGGCUUUAUAUGGAUCCAUAGAGUAUUUGAUCUGUCUACCUGCUCGUGGAGGGGUUAACAGUUCUUGCUAAGGAAUUGACAUCUAAGGAGCGAGAGCAAGUUACUUCACUCAUUUAAACUCCACUACGUACUAAGAAUUGACUUUGUUGUGCACCUUACAAUGCCAGUACCAUAUUGCAUAACUUUUGCAGUGCAAGGUCCUCUGCCAUAUCAUUUUCACAUUUUACUUUCUUUUCUUCUUCUUCUUCUUUUUUUUGCCUGGACUGUAACUGCUGCAGUGGCAGUGCUUUGCCAAGUAUCUGGGUCCAGUUUUGUCAUGAAAUGCAUCUCAUGACUUAAUAUCCAGCGCAGAAGGACUAAAG